UAGAGUUUGAUCAUGGCUCAGGACGAACGCUGGCGGCGCGCUUAAUACAUGCAAGUCGAGCGAGAACCAGGGCUUCGGCCCUGGGGACAGCGGCGAACGGGUGAGUAACACGUGGGUAAUCAGCCCUCGACACCGGGAUAGCCCGGGGAAACCCGGAUUAAUACCGGAUGCCCCGUCUGGCCUUAGGGCCGGCCGGAAAAGGUAGCUUCGGCCUCCGGUCGAGGACGAGCCCGCGGCGGAUUAGCUUGUUGGUGGGGUAAAGGCCCACCAAGGCGACGAUCCGUAGCUGGUCUGAGAGGACGAUCAGCCACACUGGGACUGAGACACGGCCCAGACUCCUACGGGAGGCAGCAGUAGGGAAUCUUGCGCAAUGGGCGAAAGCCUGACGCAGCGACGCCGCGUGAGGGAAGAAGGCCUUCGGGUUGUAAACCUCUUUCAGGAGGGACGAAGCCACUCGGGUUAAUAGCCCAGAGGGUGACGGUACCUCCAGAAGAAGCCCCGGCUAACUACGUGCCAGCAGCCGCGGUAAU
Molecule: ribosomal RNA, 530 nt
Filed under: uncultured bacterium
Lineage: Bacteria
Description: bacterial SSU rRNA
Rfam family: Bacterial small subunit ribosomal RNA
Source: RNAcentral